This 377-nucleotide ribosomal RNA is filed under the name uncultured bacterium. Its description in RNAcentral is "bacterial SSU rRNA". It matches the Rfam family "Bacterial small subunit ribosomal RNA", at positions 521 to 896 of the family's 1533-position model. The record is from RNAcentral.
UAAUACGUAGGUGGCAAGCGUUGUCCGGAUUUACUGGGCGUAAAGAGCGCGCAGGCGGUCGGAUAAGUCGAAUGUGAAAGCCCCCGGCUCAACUGGGGAGGGUCAUUCGAUACUGUUCGACUCGAAGGCAGGAGAGGGAAGCGGAAUUCCCGGUGUAGUGGUGAAAUGCGUAGAUAUCGGGAGGAACACCAGUGGCGAAGGCGGCUUUCUGGCCUGUUCUUGACGCUGAGGCGCGAAAGCCAGGGGAGCAAACGGGAUUAGAUACCCCGGUAGUCCUGGCUGUAAACGAUGGACACUAGGUGUUGGUGGUAUCAACCCCACCAGUGCCGUAGCUAACGCAUUAAGUGUCCCGCCUGGGGAGUACGGCCGCAAGGCUA